UUGGAGGGCAAGUCUGGUGCCAGCAGCCGCGGUAAUUCCAGCUCCAAUAGCGUAUAUUAAUGUUGUUGCAGUUAAAAAGCUCGUAGUUGAAUUUCGGGAUUAGUACGUUGGUCGUGCCUUCGGUACGUACUGGUGUUACUGAUUCCUACCUUCUGACGAACCAUCAUGUCAUUAAUUUGGUGUGGCGGGGAAUCAGGACUGUUACUUUGAAAAAAUUAGAGUGUUUAAAGCAGGCUCGCGCUUGAAUACAUUAGCAUGGAAUAAUGAAAUAGGACGUUGAUCCUAUUUUGUUGGUUUCUAGGAUUGACGUAAUGAUUAAUAGGGAUAGUUGGGGGCAUUAGUAUUCAAUUGUCAGAGGUGAAAUUCUUGGAUUUAUUGAAGACUAACUACUGCGAAAGCAUUUGCCAAGGAUGUUUUCAUUAAUCAAGAACGAAAGUUAGGGGAUCGAAGACGAUCAGAUACCGUCGUAGUCUUAACCAUAAACUAUGCCGACUAGGGAUCGGAUGAUGUUAAUUUUUUAAUGACUCAUUCGGCGCCUUACGGGAAAC
RNAcentral lists this ribosomal RNA (548 nucleotides) under uncultured Glomeromycotina. RNAcentral's name for it is "SSU rRNA". It matches the Rfam family "Eukaryotic small subunit ribosomal RNA", at positions 548 to 1098 of the family's 1831-position model. The record is from RNAcentral. Lineage: Eukaryota; Fungi; Glomeromycota.